AUUGAACGCUGGCGGCAUGCUUUACACAUGCAAGUCGGACGGCAGCGGGGUAGUGCUUGCACUACUGCCGGCGAGUGGCGGACGGGUGAGUAAUAUAUUGGAACGUACCGAGUAAUGGGGGAUAACCAAUCGAAAGAUUGGCUAAUACCGCAUACGCUCUGAGGAGGAAAGCAGGGGACCUUCGGGCCUUGCGUUAUUCGAGCGGCCAAUAUCUGAUUAGCUAGUUGGUGGGGUAAGGGCCUACCAAGGCGACGAUCAGUAGCGGGUCUGAGAGGAUGAUCCGCCACACUGGGACUGAGACACGGCCCAGACUCCUACGGGAGGCAGCAGUGGGGAAUUUUGGACAAUGGGCGCAAGCCUGAUCCAGCCAUGCCGCGUGUCUGAAGAAGGCCUUCGGGUUGUAAAGGACUUUUGUUAGGGAAGAAAAAGGAGCGGUUAAUACCCGUUUCUGCUGACGGUACCUAAAGAAUAAGCACCGGCUAACUACGUG
Molecule: ribosomal RNA, 490 nt
Filed under: uncultured bacterium
Lineage: Bacteria
Description: partial 16S ribosomal RNA
Rfam family: Bacterial small subunit ribosomal RNA
Source: RNAcentral